UACAGAGGGUGCGAGCGUUAAUCGGAAUUACUGGGCGUAAAGCGUGCGUAGACGGCUAUUUAAGUCAGGGGUGAAAUCCUGGAGCUCAACUCCAGAACUGCCUUUGAUACUGAGAAGCUUGAGUCCGGGAGAGGUGAGUGGAACUGCGAGUGUAGAGGUGAAAUUCGUAGAUAUUCGCAAGAACACCAGUGGCGAAGGCGGCUCACUGGCCCGGUACUGACGCUGAGGUGCGAAAGCGUGGGGAGCAAACAGG
RNAcentral lists this ribosomal RNA (253 nucleotides) under uncultured bacterium. RNAcentral's name for it is "partial 16S ribosomal RNA". It matches the Rfam family "Bacterial small subunit ribosomal RNA", at positions 524 to 776 of the family's 1533-position model. The record is from RNAcentral.